This 255-nucleotide ribosomal RNA is filed under the name uncultured bacterium. RNAcentral describes it as "partial 16S ribosomal RNA". It matches the Rfam family "Bacterial small subunit ribosomal RNA", at positions 524 to 776 of the family's 1533-position model. The record is from RNAcentral.
UACGUAGGGGGGCAAGCGUUAUCCGGAUUUAUUGGGCGUAAAGAGCUCGUAGGUGGUUCGGUAAGUCGGAUGUGAAAUCUCCAGGCUCAACCUGGAGGGGUCAUUCGAUACUGCCGUGACUAGAGUUCGGUAGGGGAGUGUGGAAUUCCUGGUGGGGCGGUGAAAUGCGCAGAUAUCAGGAGGAACACCCGUAGCGAAGGCGGCACUCUGGGCCGAUACUGACACUGAGGAGCGAAAGCGUGGGGAGCGAACAGG